CAGGGAGACAAACAAUGAUCAUGAUGCUUGAGUGUUUUUAUAUUCUUAAGCCUUGAUCCUGUCACCUUAGGUCGAUCGGUACCUCAAACUAAUUAAAUUACUUUUUGAGAAAUCAUUAGUAUAAAAAAUUGGUCUCAGUUCCUAAACUUGUCUAGGUCACACCCAACAAGGGUACUCCUGGGCCAUUAGCUCAGGUGGUUAGAGCGCACCCCUGAUAAGGGUGAGGUCCCUGGUUCAAGUCCAGGAUGGCCCAUUCGGUGUUGGGGGUAUAGCUCAGUUGGUAGAGCGCCUGCUUUGCAAGCAGGAUGUCAGCGGUUCGAGUCCGCUUACCUCCACUGAUCGACCUCCUGAUAGCGAAAUUACAAGGAGAUUGACGUUGUUGGAUGUGAUUUAGAGUUUGUUCGUCUGAAUGAACCUAGCUUCUUAUCAUUGCUAUUUAAUUUAAAUAGAUUGUUGAUAUGACGCUGGGCUCACUGGAAUUUAAAAUUUCAGAGAACUUCAGCAGAACCUUGACAACUGCAUAGGUGAGUCUAGAAAGAAUAAAGCAUCUCAUGGAUGCAUUACUUUUAGAUAAGUAAAGCAAUUAAUUUAUUAAAAGCUUUAUUUUUUGAGUAAUGUCUAAUUCUUGAGCAAGAGCUGAGACUCUAUAGUGUUCUUUUGAUACUAUCUAGGUAUUAAAAGUCUGAUCAUUUAAUUAUUUUUUAUAGAAAUUUAUAGUGAUGUUUUUCUCCGUAAGUUUCAUUUUUAAAAUUGAUAAUUAAUGAGAAUACGUUUUCAACUGCGUUAAGCGCUAUAGAGGUUUAUUU
RNAcentral lists this transfer RNA (806 nucleotides) under uncultured cyanobacterium. RNAcentral describes it as "partial 16S-23S ribosomal RNA intergenic spacer". The stretch from base 263 to 335 matches the Rfam family "tRNA". Lineage: Bacteria; Bacillati; Cyanobacteriota. The record is from RNAcentral.